GAUGAACGCUAGCUACAGGCUUAACACAUGCAAGUCGAGGGGUAACGAGAGGAAAGCUUGCUUUCCUUGUCGACGACCGGCGCACGGGUGAGUAACGCGUAUCCAACCUGCCCCCAACUAGGGAAUAACCUUGCGAAAGUAAGACUAAUACCCUAUAAUUUCCUCAGAUGUCAUCUGACGAGGAAUAAAGAUUUAUCGGUUGUGGAUGGGGAUGCGUCUGAUUAGCUUGUUGGCGGGGUAACGGCCCACCAAGGCAACGAUCAGUAGGGGUUCUGAGAGAAGUAUCCCACACACUGGCACUGAGAUACGGGCCAGACUCCUACGGGAGGCAGCAGUAGGGAAUAUUGGGCAAUGGAGGCAACUCCGACCCAGCCAUGCCGCGUGCAGGAAGACGGUCCUCUGGAUUGUAAACUGCCUUUGAAUGGGAAGAAUGUGCUUCUUGCGAGGGGUAAUGACGGUACCAUUAGAAUAAGCCACGGCUAACUACGUGCCAGCCGCCGCCGUAA
Molecule: ribosomal RNA, 506 nt
Filed under: uncultured bacterium
Lineage: Bacteria
Description: partial 16S ribosomal RNA
Rfam family: Bacterial small subunit ribosomal RNA
Source: RNAcentral